This 296-nucleotide long non-coding RNA is filed under the name Ananas comosus (pineapple). Its description in RNAcentral is "long non-coding RNA (ACOM_LNC040108)". Lineage: Eukaryota; Viridiplantae; Streptophyta; Magnoliopsida; Poales; Bromeliaceae. The record is from RNAcentral.
UACAGAAAAAAUAAAGUACGCCGCACGUGGUUUAAAGUGUAUCACUUUAGCACCCUAUGAUUACAUUUUUCUCUUUCCGUCAAUAUCUUUGCUAACUCUCUAUUGAAUCAUAUACAUAAACUUCAGAUACUACAUCUAGUAGCUUACCGAAUUUCACUUAAGUAUUUUAUAGUUUUAAUUUUGUCACCGAUUUAAAAAAAAAAUUAGCAGAGGAGAUAUCUAAAAGACAAAAACAAAACUAUAAGAUACUGAAGUAAUAUAUUUUAAAUCACAUGAUAGUAGAGUGAAAAAACGUG